AGCACACUGCGCAUGUCCUUGGUAUCCUAACAGCGAGGACCAGAAGCACAUUGCCCGUGUACUUGGUAUCCUAACACAGCGUGGGUACUCGGUAUCCUAACAGGAGGACCAGAAGCACACUGCGUGGUACUUGGCAUCCUAACAGCGAGGACCAGAAGCACACUGCGCAUGUACCCGGUAUCCUAACAGAAGGACCAGAAGCACACUGCCCGUGUGCUUGGUAUCCUAACAGAAGGACCAGAAGCACACUGCGCAUGUGCUUGGUAUCCUAACAGAGCGUGGGUACUCGGUAUCCUAACACAGCCCGGGUACUGGGUAUCCCAACAGCAGGAACAGAGAACCCAGAGGAUGAGCGGGGCUCCUAGAGAUGAACAAGCGUCCAAAAAUGAGCCUCAAAUGAGGAGGCUUCGGUCCCGUGAAGGAGACUUGGCAGUUGUGCAAAAUGAGGAGCCUCCCUCCGUCCUCCGUCCUGCGGAGUCUGGUCCCCCGAGAUGCUCCCGCACCGUGCACUGGGGUGCAAGGAAUCUGGGUGAAGACGGAGCCCUGAGCUUGCACACAAAGGCCCGCCUAGUCUCUUAACCCAGGAGUAUCCACCCACCGUGAGCUUCCAGUCAGACAUCACACACCAAGCAACCGUUUCUCCCACUUUCCAUCUCCCUCCCCUUUGUUUCUGCUUUCAGUGUAUUUCUUUUUAUCUCCUUGCUUUCUAUCACUUUUGUACCAUGGAACCGCCCAGGGGAAACGUGGUUUUAAUUAAUACCCAGGCAUGGAAGGAAUGCUAGCUAGGCCUCUCUGAGUAGGGUCAAACUUUUUGAAAGAAAGGUUUUUCGGUUGAAGUUUUAAUGAGACCAAGGGUAAGUUGGCAGAUGUGAAAUCAGAAGUUGUUCUAGACGGACAAGAAAAAGGAUUGAAAUGAAAGAGAAUGAAAUAGGAAGCAGAAACUGUUCCAUCCCCUAAUUACCGUAAGCACCGAAGACCAGAGGAAGCUUUUCUCUAGCAGAUGGAGAAAACUGGGUGCCUUGCUUUACCACCCAGCCUUUCAAAUAGAAACAAAGGAAGGAAAAGAGAGAAGUGUAAAACAAAACAAAACAAAAAACUCUAUCAGAUUCUUGAAAUUAUUUUGUAGGCGGCCUCCUGCAGGGUAAAAGACUUGGAGGUGCGUCCUUCAGGGGAAAAAUACUAGCAAAAUAUUUGAGGGGAUUAAUUUCUGCAAGAAUUGGGGAAAACUCUAAGUAAGAUAAGAAUCCCACUCUCUUUUGUUUCAGUUUUGCUAAGCAUUCAGGCUGAGGCAAACAUGAUCGUUAAACCUUUAUUAAUGUGAAACAAAGAGAUAAAAUCUUAAAUGGUGUGAAGCCCAUAAACUAAAAGAAGCAAGAAAACUAGACCGAGGCCCAGAAGAUAGAGAGAUGAGGAAGCUUUCCUAAGGGGAACCUUUGAACUUUUGGCUGAAAUAUGAAUGUUUGUGCUUUAGAUAAAUGGGAAAUGCAAACUAAAGCUGGAAACCAAAAAGAUCUGGUUAGUUCAAAUAAAAAAGCUUACCUUGCCUGAAA
Long non-coding RNA from Canis lupus familiaris (dog), 1550 nucleotides. RefSeq lists it as uncharacterized. Lineage: Eukaryota; Metazoa; Chordata; Mammalia; Carnivora; Canidae. The transcript is spliced from 2 exons. The record is from RefSeq and is a predicted model, not a curated record.